GUUUUAUUUUGUGAAAGGAUUAUGUGUGAGUUCAACAGUAUUGUCAUGAUCAGAAAAAAAAAAGUAUUUUAAUCUGUGGGGACAGUAUGGAGUCCUGCAUACAUGGUAUGAGUUAAAGGCAUCUGAGUGGCAAACCACUCCUAUUAUGCUAGGCGCGUGCGUGUGUGGCAAAUUGCUUACCCUGUAGACACAGUCCUGGGUGUGAGGUCAUGUGUUGGAGUCCCUGUGCUUGCUCCACGGCCCGCUCCUUGAUUGGUCGCUGCAAGGACAGUUGGCAAGAAAUUGUACUGGUGGCUGCCUGAAAUCUGCUUAGCUCCUGCCUGAGUAUAUGUACAUGGUAACUGUGCAAUAAAGUCAGACCUGCUUCCUGCUUGGUCUCCGGAGAUCUUCAAUAGUGACUCCGCAGCCACACUCUCCUCUACCCUGUUCCAUGGACCUCCUCUCUGGAUGAGACGGAGCCCAUCACCUGGCACCCGAACAGGGAUCUGAGGUAAGUCUACACGAAAGGGUGUGGCCCCUCACAGAGCAGUGAGGAAGGGGAAAUGGGAACCUACCGAGUUCCACCGCAGACUCACAGCUGCAAGUGCUGCACACUCUCUUGGAUACUAGAGGUUUAACCCUGAAUAAAAGAAGCCCAGAAGUUUUGGGACGUAGUGAUAGAUACCAGCCCAUGGAUUAGUGUCACUGAUGUUUCUGACCCUAGGAUAUGGGACAAGAUAAUGGCAAGUGCACGGCAAGCUGAAGUGAGACAGGGGUAUACUUUACCAUGACAUUUUUUUCCUAUUGUGACAGCCAUUCAGCAAAGUUUAGGGCGCCCCGCAACAGAUCCUUGUCAUAUAAUGAUGGCCCUGAGGGAAGAUGAGGCUGUGAGAGACAGACAAGGGGAAAGCAGUGGGGGUGAAAAUCUACUUCAAAGCAAGAAACCACAGCAGGUGCAGGAAAGAGAGAGACAGGAAAUGGUACCGCUGGCCUUCAUAGUACAAGAAGAGGUGACCCCAAAUGGUGCAGGUGCACCUUCUACUGACAGGCAACGACUAUAUCCUUUUCUAAGACAAUGGCACCUGCUUCCUUAUGAGGCAAUGCCACAGCCAGCAAGGGACUAAGAAAUGACAAGGCCACAGACAGGCCCAAGCCAUGACCUCCCAGAAACCCAUUCCAGGAGGCCAGAGAUCCUUUUGAAGAUCUAUGUAGGAUAAGAGAUGAAAAGUGGGGUAAGAGGAUACCAGCCUUCCCAGUCAACAUGGACCCCCCACACAGCGC
RNAcentral lists this long non-coding RNA (1260 nucleotides) under Marmota monax (woodchuck). Lineage: Eukaryota; Metazoa; Chordata; Mammalia; Rodentia; Sciuridae. The record is from RNAcentral.